AAAUUGAAGAGUUUGAUCAUGGCUCAGAUUGAACGCUGGCGGCAGGCCUAACACAUGCAAGUCGAACGGUAACAGGAAGCAGCUUGCUGCUUUGCUGACGAGUGGCGGACGGGUGAGUAAUGUCUGGGAAACUGCCUGAUGGAGGGGGAUAACUACUGGAAACGGUGGCUAAUACCGCAUAAUGUCGCAAGACCAAAGA
This 199-nucleotide ribosomal RNA is filed under the name Salmonella enterica subsp. enterica serovar Rubislaw. RNAcentral's name for it is "partial 16S ribosomal RNA". It matches the Rfam family "Bacterial small subunit ribosomal RNA", at positions 1 to 207 of the family's 1533-position model. RNAcentral also lists the same sequence under 3 other names. The record is from RNAcentral. Lineage: Bacteria; Pseudomonadati; Pseudomonadota; Gammaproteobacteria; Enterobacterales; Enterobacteriaceae.